UACAGAGGUCUCAAGCGUUGUUCGGAUUCAUUGGGCGUAAAGGGUGCGUAGGCGGCGCGGUAAGUCGGGUGUGAAAUUUCGAGGCUUAACUUCGAAACUGCAUUCGAUACUGCCGUGCUUGAGGACUGGAGAGGAGACUGGAAUUUACGGUGUAGCGGUGAAAUGCGUAGAUAUCGUAAGGAAGACCAGUGGCGAAGGCGGGUCUCUGGACAGUUCCUGACGCUGGGGCACGAAGGCCAGGGGAGCAAACGGG
This 253-nucleotide ribosomal RNA is filed under the name uncultured bacterium. RNAcentral describes it as "partial 16S ribosomal RNA". It matches the Rfam family "Bacterial small subunit ribosomal RNA", at positions 524 to 776 of the family's 1533-position model. The record is from RNAcentral.